CAGGUUUACCUGUGUGACUGCGUACCUUUUGUAUAAUGGGUCAGCGACUUAUAUUCUGUAGCAAGGUUAACCGUAUAGGGGAGCCGGAGGGAAACCGAGUCUUAACCGGGCGUUAAGUUGCAGGGUAUAGACCCGAAACCCGGUGAUCUAGCCAUGGGCAGGUUGAAGGUUGGGUAACACUAACUGGAGGACCGAACCGACUAAUGUUGAAAAAUUAGCGGAUGACCUGUGGCUGGGGGUGAAAGGCCAAUCAAACCGGGAGAUAGCUGGUUCUCCCCGAAAGCUAUUUAGGUAGCGCCUCGUGAAUUCAUCUCCGGGGGUAGAGCACUGUUUCGGCUAGGGGGCCAUCCCGGCUUACCAACCCGAUGCAAACUGCGAAUACCGGAGAAUGUUAUCACGGGAGACACACGGCGGGUGCUAACGUCCGUCGUGAAGAGGGAAACAACCCAGACCGCCAGCUAAGGUCCCAAAGUCAUGGUUAAGUGGGAAACGAUGUGGGAAGGCCCAGACAGCCAGGAUGUUGGCUUAGAAGCAGCCAUCAUUUAAAGAAAGCGUAAUAGCUCACUGGUCGAGUCGGCCUGCGCGGAAGAUGUAACGGGGCUAAACCAUGCACCGAAGCUGCGGCAGCGAACGUAUCACCCAAGACAACUUUACGGAGUUGACGAUUGACGGAGCGAAGCGACGUCAAAGCGUUCAUUAAAGUCGAGUUGGCUUAGGGAUACGUUCGUUGGGUAGGGGAGCGUUCUGUAAGCCUGUGAAGGUGGCCUGUGAGGGUUGCUGGAGGUAUCAGAAGUGCGAAUGCUGACAUAAGUAACGAUAAAGCGGGUGAAAAGCCCGCUCGCCGGAAGACCAAGGGUUCCUGUCCAACGUUAAUCGGGGCAGGGUGAGUCGACCCCUAAGGCGAGGCCGAAAGGCGUAGUCGAUGGGAAACGGGUUAAUAUUCCCGUACUUGGUGUUACUGCGAAGGGGGGACGGAGAAGGCUAUGUUGGCCGGGCGACGGUUGUCCCGGUUUAAGCGUGUAGGUGUGUGUUCCAGGUAAAUCCGGUUCACUUUAACACUGAGGCGUGAUGACGAGGCACUACGGUGCUGAAGCAACAAAUGCCCUGCUUCCAGGAAAAGCCUCUAAGCAUCAGGUAACAUCAAAUCGUACCCCAAACCGACACAGGUGGUCAGGUAGAGAAUACCAAGGCGCUUGAGAGAACUCGGGUGAAGGAACUAGGCAAAAUGGUGCCGUAACUUCGGGAGAAGGCACGCUGACACGUAGGUGAAGUGAUUUACUCACGGAGCUGAAGUCAGUCGAAGAUACCAGCUGGCUGCAACUGUUUAUUAAAAACACAGCACUGUGCAAACACGAAAGUGGACGUAUACGGUGUGACGCCUGCCCGGUGCCGGAAGGUUAAUUGAUGGGGUCAGCGCAAGCGAAGCUCCUGAUCGAAGCCCCGGUAAACGGCGGCCGUAACUAUAACGGUCCUAAGGUAGCGAAAUUCCUUGUCGGGUAAGUUCCGACCUGCACGAAUGGCGUAAUGAUGGCCAGGCUGUCUCCACCCGAGACUCAGUGAAAUUGAACUCGCUGUGAAGAUGCAGUGUACCCGCGGCAAGACGGAAAGACCCCGUGAACCUUUACUAUAGCUUGACACUGAACAUUGAGCCUUGAUGUGUAGGAUAGGUGGGAGGCUUUGAAGUGUGGACGCCAGUCUGCAUGGAGCCGACCUUGAAAUACCACCCUUUAAUGUUUGAUGUUCUAACGUGGACCCGUAAUCCGGGUUGCGGACAGUGUCUGGUGGGUAGUUUGACUGGGGCGGUCUCCUCCUAAAGAGUAACGGAGGAGCACGAAGGUUGGCUAAUCCUGGUCGGACAUCAGGAGGUUAGUGCAAUGGCAUAAGCCAGCUUGACUGCGAGCGUGACGGCGCGAGCAGGUGCGAAAGCAGGUCAUAGUGAUCCGGUGGUUCUGAAUGGAAGGGCCAUCGCUCAACGGAUAAAAGGUACUCCGGGGAUAACAGGCUGAUACCGCCCAAGAGUUCAUAUCGACGGCGGUGUUUGGCACCUCGAUGUCGGCUCAUCACAUCCUGGGGCUGAAGUAGGUCCCAAGGGUAUGGCUGUUCGCCAUUUAAAGUGGUACGCGAGCUGGGUUUAGAACGUCGUGAGACAGUUCGGUCCCUAUCUGCCGUGGGCGCUGGAGAACUGAGGGGGGCUGCUCCUAGUACGAGAGGACCGGAGUGGACGCAUCACUGGUGUUCGGGUUGUCAUGCCAAUGGCACUGCCCGGUAGCUAAAUGCGGAAGAGAUAAGUGCUGAAAGCAUCUAAGCACGAAACUUGCCCCGAGAUGAGUUCUCCCUGAGACUUAGAGUCUCCUGAAGGAACGUUGAAGACGACGACGUUGAUAGGCCGGGUGUGUAAGCGCAGCGAUGCGUUGAGCUAACCGGUACUAAUGAACCGUGAGGCUUAACCUUACAACGCCGAAG
RNAcentral lists this ribosomal RNA (2463 nucleotides) under Salmonella enterica. RNAcentral's name for it is "partial 23S ribosomal RNA". It matches the Rfam family "Bacterial large subunit ribosomal RNA", at positions 580 to 2925 of the family's 2925-position model. Lineage: Bacteria; Pseudomonadati; Pseudomonadota; Gammaproteobacteria; Enterobacterales; Enterobacteriaceae. The record is from RNAcentral.